Molecule: ribosomal RNA, 1228 nt
Filed under: Staphylococcus aureus
Lineage: Bacteria; Bacillati; Bacillota; Bacilli; Caryophanales; Staphylococcaceae
Description: partial 23S ribosomal RNA
Rfam family: Bacterial large subunit ribosomal RNA
Source: RNAcentral
CACUGCCGAGAAAAGCCUCUAGAUAGAAAAUAGGUGCCCGUACCGCAAACCGACACAGGUAGUCAAGAUGAGAAUUCUAAGGUGAGCGAGCGAACUCUCGUUAAGGAACUCGGCAAAAUGACCCCGUAACUUCGGGAGAAGGGGUGCUCUUUAGGGUUAACGCCCAGAAGAGCCGCAGUGAAUAGGCCCAAGCGACUGUUUAUCAAAAACACAGGUCUCUGCUAAACCGUAAGGUGAUGUAUAGGGGCUGACGCCUGCCCGGUGCUGGAAGGUUAAGAGGAGUGGUUAGCUUCUGCGAAGCUACGAAUCGAAGCCCCAGUAAACGGCGGCCGUAACUAUAACGGUCCUAAGGUAGCGAAAUUCCUUGUCGGGUAAGUUCCGACCCGCACGAAAGGCGUAACGAUUUGGGCACUGUCUCAACGAGAGACUCGGUGAAAUCAUAGUACCUGUGAAGAUGCAGGUUACCCGCGACAGGACGGAAAGACCCCGUGGAGCUUUACUGUAGCCUGAUAUUGAAAUUCGGCACAGCUUGUACAGGAUAGGUAGGAGCCUUUGAAACGUGAGCGCUAGCUUACGUGGAGGCGCUGGUGGGAUACUACCCUAGCUGUGUUGGCUUUCUAACCCGCACCACUUAUCGUGGUGGGAGACAGUGUCAGGCGGGCAGUUUGACUGGGGCGGUCGCCUCCUAAAAGGUAACGGAGGCGCUCAAAGGUUCCCUCAGAAUGGUUGGAAAUCAUUCAUAGAGUGUAAAGGCAUAAGGGAGCUUGACUGCGAGACCUACAAGUCGAGCAGGGUCGAAAGACGGACUUAGUGAUCCGGUGGUUCCGCAUGGAAGGGCCAUCGCUCAACGGAUAAAAGCUACCCCGGGGAUAACAGGCUUAUCUCCCCCAAGAGUUCACAUCGACGGGGAGGUUUGGCACCUCGAUGUCGGCUCAUCGCAUCCUGGGGCUGUAGUCGGUCCCAAGGGUUGGGCUGUUCGCCCAUUAAAGCGGUACGCGAGCUGGGUUCAGAACGUCGUGAGACAGUUCGGUCCCUAUCCGUCGUGGGCGUAGGAAAUUUGAGAGGAGCUGUCCUUAGUACGAGAGGACCGGGAUGGACAUACCUCUGGUGUACCAGUUGUCGUGCCAACGGCAUAGCUGGGUAGCUAUGUGUGGACGGGAUAAGUGCUGAAAGCAUCUAAGCAUGAAGCCCCCCUCAAGAUGAGAUUUCCCAACUUCGGUUAUAAGAU